UACGGGAGGCAGCAGUGGGGAAUAUUGCACAAUGGGCGCAAGCCUGAUGCAGCCAUGCCGCGUGUAUGAAGAAGGCCUUCGGGUUGUAAAGUACUUUCAGCGGGGAGGAAGGCGAUGCGGUUAAUAACCGCGUCGAUUGACGUUACCCGCAGAAGAAGCACCGGCUAACUCCGUGCCAGCAGCCGCGGUAAUACGGAGGGUGCAAGCGUUAAUCGGAAUUACUGGGCGUAAAGCGCACGCAGGCGGUCUGUUAAGUCAGAUGUGAAAUCCCCGGGCUUAACCUGGGAACUGCAUUUUGAACUGGCAGGCUUGAGUCUUGUAGAGGGGGUAGAAUUCCAGGUGUAGCGGUGAAUGCGUAGAGAUCUGGAGGAAUACCGGUGGCGAAGGCGGCCCCUGGGACAAGACUGACGCUCAGGUGCGAAAGCGUGGGGAGCGAAACAGGGAUUAGAUACC
This 453-nucleotide ribosomal RNA is filed under the name uncultured bacterium. Its description in RNAcentral is "bacterial SSU rRNA". It matches the Rfam family "Bacterial small subunit ribosomal RNA", at positions 340 to 786 of the family's 1533-position model. The record is from RNAcentral.